This is a transfer RNA of Hebeloma cylindrosporum, 85 nucleotides long. It matches the Rfam family "tRNA". Rfam says of the family: Transfer RNA (tRNA) molecules are approximately 80 nucleotides in length. Their secondary structure includes four short double-helical elements and three loops (D, anti-codon, and T loops). The record is from Rfam. Lineage: Eukaryota; Fungi; Basidiomycota; Agaricomycetes; Agaricales; Hymenogastraceae.
GGUGCUAUAGUGUAGUGGUUAUCACUGAGGAUUUUGAUUACAUAUUAGAAUUCCUCGAACCCAGGUUCGAUCCCUGGUAGCACCU